Long non-coding RNA from Nematostella vectensis (starlet sea anemone), 1029 nucleotides. RefSeq lists it as uncharacterized. The record is from RefSeq and is a predicted model, not a curated record. The transcript has 2 exons. Lineage: Eukaryota; Metazoa; Cnidaria; Anthozoa; Actiniaria; Edwardsiidae.
CGCCAUCUAUCUGAAAGGCGCUGUCCAAUCACCAAACGUUUUUCCGUAAGUGACUGGAGCUAGAAGCGGUUGGGCAGUUGAAACAUUUUCGCAGAAUGUUUGAAGUCGCAUUAGUUGAAUUUAUACGUGAUCUAGAAUGAAAAUACCACUCAUCAAUGAUAAACAUAUCCUCUCUUCUAUUAUGUUAUCCCUACUGCUUUCUUAUGUAUUUCUCUUCUGUUCUUUUUCGAAAGGAAAUUAGAUUUUCAAGAUCGUGUUUUCAGACGCGCCAAACUAAAAUAACCAAGGCAUCAUACGAUAAACAACUUUAGUUAAUUUCUGUAUUCGUUUCCAAUUAAAAUGUUUUGAUUUCAUUCAAUUUCCUAUCGAUAAGAAAUGGUGACGCUUAAUCAUGGCGGAGUUUUCUUCCUUGGAAGACAUCGGAGGAAAUUUCCGCACAGUGUUCUACUUCUUCUUCUCGUGUCCUCGUCUUUACAUCGCUUUUGUGUCCAGCUAUCUAUCGUAUUUAUCCAAAGAAACAAGAUUUUGACCUUGUCUCGGGCGCAUUUCUACUCUGUUUUCAACGAUACGUAAUUAAUAUAGCUUAAACACGCAUGCGCACUAUAAAAGGGAGCUCCCUAGCAAAGCUCCGAAAAAUCUGUCAAUCAAAUCAGUUGAGUCUAGACUUCCAAGCGUGCGGACGUGUUUCACGGAGCUCCAGACAAACCAGAAAAUGAGUCUAGCUACAGUGCAAACCUAUCCAAGUGCACAAAGUUUGUAGCCCAAGUUCCAAUUCGGCAUCUCCUCAAACCACUUCUCCUACUACUACCAGCUCUCCACUACCAGUACACAUGUUAAUAUUUGUUUAUUGUAAAUACCUGGAUUAGGCAUGAUCAAGUGUGCUUUACAUGCACAGACUGAUCUAUGCCGUUUACAGUAGAAACACAAUAGAAAAGAAUGUGAAUUAGUAUGUAACCACUGUACCUGAAGAUUUCCCCCAAAUAUACUGUAAUCCAGUUUAAAUAAAAAAAUGAAAACCAUUAAUAAAAA